CCGCUCCUAGGGGGGCAGCAGUGGGGAAUAUUGGGCAAUGGGCGCAAGCCUGACCCAGCAACGCCGCGUGAAGGAAGAAGGCCCUCGGGUUGUAAACUUCUUUUAUCAGGGACGAAGAAGUGACGGUACCUGAUGAAUAAGCCACGGCUAACUACGUGCCAGCAGCCGCGGUAAUACGUAGGUGGCAAGCGUUAUCCGGAUUUACUGGGUGUAAAGGGCGUGUAGGCGGGGAAGCAAGUCAGAUGUGAAAUUCCAGGGCUCAACCCUGGAACUGCAUUUGAAACUGUUUUUCUUGAGUGAUGGAG
This 305-nucleotide ribosomal RNA is filed under the name uncultured bacterium. RNAcentral describes it as "bacterial SSU rRNA". It matches the Rfam family "Bacterial small subunit ribosomal RNA", at positions 333 to 654 of the family's 1533-position model. The record is from RNAcentral.